GUCCCCCCCUCCCUGACGGUGCUGCCUCCCUCCGUGGAGGAGCUGCAGCAGGGGAAGGCCACGCUCAUGUGCCUGGCCAACAAGGGCUUCCCCUCAGACUGGAGUCUGUCCUGGAAGGUGGACGGCAGCAGCAGCAUCAGCAACGGGGAGCAGAGCAGGAGCCCCGGGGUGCUGCAGAAGGACGGCCACUACAGCUGGAGCAGCACCCUGAGGCUCCCUGCAGACCAGUGGAGGAAGGUGGUCUCUGUGACCUGUGAGGCCAGCCAGGGCUCCCAGACCCACUCUCAGAGACACUUGAGGAGACCAGUGUUCCCAGUCCUGACCUGACUCACUGGGACUCUCACACUGCUUUCACUCUCUCUCUGCUCUCUGGCUUUUCUUUCACAUCUUCCAAUAACAGGAUUUACUGGCUUCUUGCUGUGUUUCAAUGUUGUUUCACUGCUUCUAAAUAAUAAACAUCUGCUCAUCAACUCA
Mugil cephalus (flathead mullet) is the source of this 474-nucleotide non-coding RNA. NCBI's taxonomy places the organism in Eukaryota, Metazoa, Chordata, Actinopteri, Mugiliformes, Mugilidae. The record is from the annotation of a RefSeq genome assembly.